UUUAAAGUACUCAGGAUUUUGCCAUUAGAUUCUGCUCAUUUCAAGACCCUGGCUUUUUGGUUUGGGGCCGGGUUUCACAUCUCCUCUUUGAGGACUUUGUCACUUCCAGUCUUCUGGUUUUAGACACGUAACUUUUCUUGUGGUGCCAGCUUAACAUUCUAGAGCAGUUCAACCUUCAGAGAGGUGGCCAACUACCUAGAUGGAUUUAAUGUAAUGUUGUAUUUCCAAGGUGUUCUUGUGUGUGUUUUCCAAGGUGAUUUCCUCAGUGUUUUACUUCAGAGGUGGCGUUUGCGUUCGCGUGGACCGUCCGUCAUCUGUGGGUUCACAGUGCGCUCACUUCCACAGCUGGCACUCUGGUCUCCUGGAGGUGCCACAGUGAGCAGCAGUGCAGAGUCCAGCGUGGGAGACCGGCGUGUGAACAGGUAGACGACGGCUCUGUCUGAUGAGUCGUCUGGCAGUAGAGAGUUGGAGGAGAGACACCUUAGACGUCAUCCAAGUCACACAUAGGAGAAAGCGAAAGUCCAGGCUGAAGGCAGCUAGGUAGCGGGGUCCCUGGGGGCCCCCUCCUGACCCCUCACCAAGUCCUGGACUCCUGUAUGGCCGUGGGGCCCGGCUGUGGUGUGUGCAGAGUUGGCCAAGGCACUGUACCCUCCAGCACACGGUGUGUCCCCUCCGUGUGGUUUCUCGCCCUCCUGUCCCAUCCGUUUACCAGACUGCAUCCUGGCUUUUGGUAAAUCACAGCUAAAAAUCACUUGAGGACCUGGGCUCUUGUGCUCAGUCAUGUCCAACUCUGCGGCCCCAUGGCGUGUAGCCCACCAGGCUCCUCUGUCUAAGGGAUUUUACAGCUAAAAAAUAGUGGAAUGUGUUGCCAUUUCCUCCUCCAACGGGAUCUUCCUGACCCAGGGAUCGAACGCACAUCUACUGUGUCUCAUGCGUUAACAGGCAGCUUCUUUACCACAGAACCACUUGGGAAGCCCUUGGACCUGACACCGGGCUUUUAAAAAAGCUCACUUUCCUCUCUCCUUUUCAACUCAUUAAGCAAUAAAGUUUCACAGCCCAGCCCAAUCUACCCCUCAGGUCUUGUCUCUGAGGAGGUAAAAGACCAUCUAUUAACAGCUGUUUAUCCAUUUCUCCUCAGCAGUCAAGUUGACAAGGGGUCGGCAUAGAAUUCCCUAUUCUGACCAUGUGGAAGGCGAAUGUUCUGACUGUUCUUGGAAUCAGACCUAAUACCACUGAGAGCCACUGGAUGUUAGGAGUUGAGUGGGUCCAAAAUUGAUUUUUUCAAGUUGCCCUCAUCGUGAGUUUUAGAGUUGGGGCCUUCAAGUGAUUGGAGGGAGGGAGGGAAGGUGCUCGAAGACAGGUUCAAGGUUGUCCUGAUGACCCUGGAGCACCUACCGGGCGUGCUUCCUAGGAUCCCUGCCAGGGUCACUUGCCAUUUUCUGACUUGGAAAUGUUAACCACGAUGUCUUCAAAACCAGUUCCCAGAUUAGGGAAAGUAGACAACUUUGAGUGUUCUGUUACACUCGGGCUACUGGUUCAAAGCAGUUCAGCACAUGCAAACCAAAAGUUCUCAAUCUUGGCUCCACUAAGAAUCACAGGGGAACCUUUAAAAAUAUCAGUUGCCCACCAGUUGCUUUUCUAUGGCUUGUGUUCAAUGUGCCCUGUUUUCAAACGACAGGGGAAAAGCUUAGAGAAUUUCCAGUCUGCUCCUGGAAAACAGUCGAGAAGACCACUUUCUCUCUAAGUCAUCAGACUCCUGCUGGUUCUUCAAAGCCCAGUGCCCACUGUCCACACAGCCUUCAUUUGUCUAGCCUGACCGCCAGCGGUCCAUUCCCCUCGGCUCUUACAGGCUCUGCCGCCUUGGUUAAUAAUGCUCAUUGCUUGUCAUCUUUUCAUGUGUCCAUACGUUUCGCUUCCCAUGUGAGCUGGGGAACUCUUCCCGGGCAGGAGUCACAGUGGUACCCCAGAACUGCCUCUCCCGGUGAAACGUCUGACCCUGAAGCUGCUCCUGCCCACAACAGACUCCUGCCUGUGCUGUGCAGGGCUGCUUCUGAAUCCUGGGGUUAGAGGAGGGGAGCAUGAACAAAAAAAAUCCGUAAGAUCAAAUUUCUCCUCUCAGAGAAUCAAAUCCUGACCGCCAGCCGCAGCAGGAGGUAGCACUUCUGGUAGCUCAGUGUACAAAGUACAUGGAGAGAACAGACGAGGGAGCUCCAGGUCCGUGUUUCCUCCUCGCUUUCCAGAUGCUAACAGGAGCUUUGGUGGACUCUUCAGGAGUCUAAAACCAAACUCUUAAAGUCUCCUUCUCCCCCCAUCACUUAACUGCAUGACUGGCUGUGCUGCCCAAGCCAGAAAUCUUAGUUGAUCGCAGAGUCUUAAAAGUGUCCCUGAGUGCUUGUGAAAUCCUGCUCCUCUUGAGGCAUCCUGUUGCAAGCUGUGCUCCCGUGAGCCAGCCUCUCAUCUGGGGCAGGGGGGCUGCAAACACAGUAAAUGUUUUUGGCUUUACAGACCACGUGGUCUCUCCCAGCUAUUCAGCUCUGCCCUUGCAAGGCAAAAAUGGCCAUAGACAGUAGUUAAAGUAAGCAUGUCUGUUCCGAUAAAACUUUAUUUACACAAACAGCCAGUGGGCCAGAUUUGGCUGUUGAGGCCAUAGGUGCCAAGCGCUGGACUACAGCUUGUAAAGCCUUAAUGCGGCUCUGCCAGAGGUGACUUUCUAGAAUGGCUCCUGAUGGUGCCGCACGCUUGCUUAAACACCUGCAUGGCUCCCUGGGGCCCCAGAGACCCGUGCAGCCGAGGCCUGUGAGCAGUGAAAGCUUCAAUCUCCCGUUUGUAAAGUGGAUGCAGCGAUGCAUGUCCACCUCGUGGCCGCUAGAUGUGUGAAGACGCUGGGUGCUGUCUCUAGAAAGGCUCUAGCCUUAGGAAGACAGUCGCUGCUCUUUGCCAUCUGAUUGCCAACCCAGAGUUGGACACGCACAGACCAGAAGUUGAAGGGUAGAGCUGUGCUAACAAAAUCUGUUGAUGUAUAAAAUACAAGGUAAUCCCAGGUAGCUAAACUCUUCCCGACUGGCAUAUUUUUACGUUGCUGUGUGUCUAUUGCCCAGGAAAUACCAUCUGUGACUGUGAAACCAAAAUGCUAUUCUCGUGGGAAAGCUCACAGAUGCCCUAUACAUUUUCCAUAAUUAAAAUCUGGCUCCCUCCAUAGAUGCCAUUGCUAACAUGUUAACCUGAGCUUGGCCCCCUUGGCUCCUGACGGGGCACGGUGAGGCUAGGCCUGGAAAGGCAGCCUGGAGUUUUCCCCGAGUCAGUGACACUCCACCUUGGGUCGAAUCUGUUUACUCCUUGGGUUUCUGAGAAGCAGUAAAGCACCGUGACACGUCUCCGCCUCGUGGAUCGCUUAUAUAUUCUGACACCACCUGCUCAUCAGUCGAUAGCAGAAUUGCCUUGCACUCCAGACUGAGGGGGCUUCAUGAAGUGGAAUGGAGGAGUGGCUUACGGUGUUUAUUAGUAGGUGCUAGACAAAAGCCUCGCCUCUGGGCAUCCCGUUGCAUGCCAGCUCCCUGCAGCCAGGAAUACUGAUGACUGGAGUGCGCUCUCAGAGCCGCCUCCAUUUUCCCAUGGCCCGGGAAGCCCUGAGACCACUCAGCCUGCUGAGAGGGGCUGUCGGUGCAUCCCAUCCACGCUGUUCUGUAGCUAUCGCUCCAGAAAGAUCCUUCUCGGAGAAGUACACUGUAGGAUGGGGCUUCUACCAAGGAAGGCUGGAGGAAGGCUGAGGAUCAGGCCCAGAACAGCCGUUCAUUUGUGUAGAUCAGAGGGUGGCAGAUGUUUUCUAUGAAGGGUCACGUCGUAUUUCAUAAAUAUUCGGCUUUGUGGGCCAUGCAGUCUCUGUUGCAGCUACUCAAUUCUGUCUUUGUAGCUCGAAAGCAGCCUCAGAUGUUGUGCAGAUGAAUGGGUGUGGCUGGGUUCCAAUAAAACUUUAUUUGCACAAACAGGUGGUGGGCUGGGAUCUGGUCCUAGGGCCAUAGUUUGCCAAUCUCUAGAUUCUUGCCCCACCCUCACCCCCACCCCCCACCCCCCACCAAAACAGUCAACAUUUAAUAGUGUCUGUCAGGCAUCGUUCUAAGCACAGCAUGUAAAUGGCCUCCUUUAAUCUUCACUACCACUGGCUCAGUGGUAAAGAAUCCCCCUGCAAUGCAGGAGAUGUGGGUUCAAUCCCUGGGUCGGGAAGAUCCCCUGGAGAAGGAAAUGGCAACCCACUCCAGUAUGCUUGCCUGGGAAAUCCUACGGACAGAGAAGCCUGGAAGGCUACAGUGCGUGGGGUCUCAAAAGAGUCGGACAUGACUUAGCGACUGAACAGCAACCACCCUAUGAAAUAGGUGCUGUUAUCGCCCCCUUUCACAGAUGAUGACAUUGAGGCCCAGAUAAGUGUAAUUUUGCUAGGUGGUAUUACGGAAAGCAGCGGUGCCAGGGAUCUUACCCACAGGCCACUGUGGAGUCAUGCACAACCUCUGCCCAUCACCCCGUGUCUCCCUGUGUUUGAGAGCUGCAAGGUUCCACGCCUGUGCCAUAUACUAAGGGCUGACAAGGAGCGGCCACAAUGAUAAUUCUACUGAGGACGCUCAUGUUCUCAAACACCACUUAGGAGCAAACUUCCACGACCAAUUCUUCCCAGCACUCAGAGCCAAGAAAGCAGUUCUUCCUGAACAGUGCUGGGUUUCCCCCCCAGUCUAGGAUGUCAGGAAACUCCCGUGCGGCAUUUUAUGUCCAAACUGAGGCCACCUCUUCAGGCAGGCUUCCUAGCAUCACUCCACCCACACCCGCCCAGUCCCCCUGGCCACCCCUCCUACUUGAACUUUGAGACGCGUUGUGGCGUUGAGGGCCUGUGCCCGCACCUCCUGGGUGGAAGUCCCCUCAAACUCCUUGGGGGAAAGGUUUGGUGAUAAUUCUGACAUACGUAGAAACCCAAUGUCUGCCCCGUCGAGGUGAGGAGUCAGAACUGCAGUCUCCAGCUGCGGGUAGUCUGAAGGCCCAUGGCCCUGGAGGGGGAGGCCACCAGGGUGGUUUUGUCAGCGUGGUGGAACUUGGGGUAGUUUCUUUUCCUCCGAGAACUGUCCUCAGUAUCUCGCUUUACAGAAGACUCUUACCUGAAGCUAUCCCUGUGAGGCCUGGGACCUUGCGAGCACUUCCCCGUGUGCACACCCGGCCGUGCCUUCUCUCACUGCGGCAGGAAUUUUCGCUUCGGCAUCUGGUGGCCCAUGAGAUCACCCCUUUCCCUAGGCGUGUGCCAGAAAUCCGUCGGUGGGGGGAUUGCAGGAUUCCUCCCGGCCCCUUCCAACCCAACAGGCUCAGAUUUUCCACUUGUGCGAUUGAGGUCAGCGCCUGCAUUCCGGCUGGCGAGCUCCCCACGCAUGCGAGCGCCAGGCCUCAGGCAGGGGCUUCUCAGACUCACCCUGGAAUUCGGCCCCCUCCUUGGCCCUCUCCCUCCUCCUCGCCGCCCUGGAUCCUGGGGCUGGGGGGGUGCUCUGUCGGAGACUGGGGACCGCCUGGCCCAGCCUUGGCUCUGGGCCACCAGGCUGACAUGCAGGCCCUGUGUUUGCUCGGGCCGAGAGUGAGUAUGGACGAGUCAUCUGGCCAGGCGAGGAACAGUGGGACUACUGUUGCUUGCCAAGAGCUCCGUUCCUGUCCUUGUCAGUCCGUCCACCAGAGAACGUGGAGGUCGUCAACCGUGACCACUGCCAUCGGGUUUACUAAUGGUCACUGCCGCUGUCUCUCUGCAUGUGGGGGCUUUGGCGUCCGCCGCCUGCAUCCCAAGCCUGACACGUCCACUUACUGAGCAAUGGGCCAACAAGUACGUCUUGGCCCCGAGCCUCACUGUCCUGCCAGUGAAGGCUGGGGUGAUAAUACCAAAGCGGGGCGUGGCCAGGAGACGUGAAUGUGUAAGCAAUGCGUGGAGACCUCUCCAGCACUGGAUUCGCCCUAGGGUUGGUCGACUCAUCAGCUAGGCGGACCAGCCAUCCUGGUUUGUCCAGGUAGAGGGGUUUCCUGGGAGGCUGGGCUUCGGGUUGUAAAACCAAGACAGUCCCGAGAAAACCACAACAGUUGGUUACCUUAUUCUCAGCCCCAAAUAUCAAUGUUCUUGAAGCUAAAAGCUUUCAUUUAAAAAUAAAUACAAAAGCCGAACCCAGAUCGUAUAGGAAACAGACAACCUUGCCUUGCAGCCUCGUGUGCCCCUAGCCUGCCUCUCUAGUUCCAGUCUGGGGAGGCCUGGCCCGGGGGCCUAGGACUGCUUUCCUCAGGCGGGAUGACCCAUCGCGGAGGGAGCGAAUCCCUUCCCCACCCUCUGCUCUAGCUCACUGGUCCACCCUAACACCACCCAGGAGGGAACAGGAAGUCCUCACACUUCCCACAGAUCAAGAAGCUGACCUCGGCUGACAAGAGGCAGUGCUUCCUGCGGCCAGGGCCUCUCUCCCCGAGCAGGUGGGUCAGGUCAUUCCUUCCAUCUUUGCUUCCAGGACAGAAGCCAACCUCCUCGUUCUGCACUGGCCCGGCACCCUCUUCAUCCUCACCCUCACCUCCAGCCACAUGUGCCUUUUUCCAGUUUCUGAGACCUAAGCCCCGGGGUGCCCGCCAAGUCUGGACACCCCCUUCCCUUCCCUGUUCAUCCUUCAACCUCAGCCUGGCGGGGGCGGGGGCCCGACCUCCCGACAAGGCCAACAUCCCUACCGUGUGCUGCCAUCUCCACCAAGCUGGGAGCUCCGUAAACGCAGGGACCAGGAGCACUGGCGGCAUUGGCCACUGAGAGCUCAGGGCCUCCCCACUGUCUGCCGCGGAGUCAUCCACGUGCCACAGAUCCGUUUGGAAUGCGUGGAGCCAGCAAGCCCCAGGUUUAACCCCUUCCUCUCACGCCUUUCCCACAGGGCUGCAGACAGGCUCUCUCGCAACCACUACCUGUUAACCCUUCCCCUUUGCCCUGCCUGCAGCCCGGCCGAGGCCGCGUCCCAGUUUAAGAGCUACCCCACCUCGCUCUCCUCCCCUCCUUUGCGAGGAAAUAUUUCUGUUUUAUGACUAACUCUGCUCCUCAUUUCUCUCGCGUUAUCUUAAUGAAUUAACUGGGUCCCCAUCGUUCCCCCGGGCCCCCCACGGUUUAUGAGCUGUACAGCAAUAUCUGCAAUCUUAGUCAACCCACACAGUUGUUGUGCUGGUUCCUAUUACAGUAAUUGGCAUAAACUUUAUUCUUUUGCAGAGAGAUUUUUUUUUGGCCCACUGAGACUGCAUAACCAUCUGCCAUAAAUUGAGACUAGUACGGCUUAUUUUGGUGAAUGCAAAAUUGGAUCCCAUUCUUUACUCUGUGGCUUGAUUCAACUUCCAGAUGGUUAAUCCACAUGAAGUAAUAGGAAUGCACCACAGCUCUGCUUAGCUGAAGAUGGAGACGUAAUAUUUAUUUGCUGAUGUGGAGGCCUCCGAACGCUGCCCUGUCGGGAUGUCGGUAUAAAACGCAGCGGCACAAAAAUGUCAGCUUGUCCACAGGAGCAACAGCGUUCCUCUGAGUUGCCAUGGGGGAUCCCCGAUGUCCUUUUUUUUUUUUUCUUCCUGGUCUGCCCUUGACCUAAUCUCAAGAGGUUUUGUUCUCUCCUGGGCUGUUUCUUAUCAGCUAUGUCUGCCCACGGAGCCGGCUUCGCAUCUGCUUUGACUUUAGUGCCUGUGACAUUUUCAUUAAUACUUCUUCAAGGUUGAGCCUUGAUUCCAAAUAUCCUGCAGCUCACAGAAGCUGAAGCUAGCUGUGCCUGGCUGGGGCGCUGCUGGUGGUAUCAACAAGCUUGGACAUCUCCACCCAGUUAGGGUAAUCAAUCUGUUUUCAUCGUUAUUUCUCCCCCACACUAGCUUGCCACACUGGGGGAUGGGAUGCUCAGAUCUAGGUCAGCAGAUUCGGGAGGCUUAACCCUCAAUUGUGCUUCUACUCCCAGGAGUCUUGACUGCCCUGUCUGGCAGGAUUACACAUCCCCACCAGCCAACCCAGAUGGCUCAAUGGAAAAAGAACCCACCUUCCAAUGCAGGGAGUAUGGGUUCCAUUCCUGGGUCGGGAAGAUCCCCUGGAGAAGGAAAAGGCUAGCCACACAAGUAUUCUUGCCUGGGAAAGCCCAUGGACAGAGGAGCCUGGUGGGUUACAGUCCACGGGGUUGCAAAGAGUCGGACACAACUUAGCAACUAAACAACAACAACCAGCCAACUUUGCCCUUGCAAACUCGCUCUGGACUUCACAGCCUGGCCAUGUUCCCCACCCCAUCCCAGGGAAAACUGGGAACCCUCAAAUAUCCUGGGGCAGACUGGGGCUUAGGGCCUCCUCUCUGCACCUGCCCAGGUCCCUGAGAGCCACCUGCAUUUGAAUCACUGGAGGAUCACGUUAAAAAUGCAGACUCCUGGACUGAGGGAGACAGACUAUCCCAGUUUGCUCAGAACGACCCUAGUUUUAGCACAGGAAGUCCCAUGUCCUGGACUUUCCACAUCACCCUACUUGGGCCCCACCCCGGACCCCAGAAGAACUACUGCUGAGGACUCAGGCCGAGGGAUCCAAUUAUGAUCAGUUCCCUGUGGUGAUGGAGCACUUGAACUUGGGAAGCCCAAGUACCCUCAGGGCCCACGUUCCCUCACCUUGCCUGAGUGCAGCACACGACGCCCUUAUCACUUUCUUGAGUAGACUGUCUGCUUCCCUCAGUGUGAGCUCCUCAAGGGAAGGGCUCAGCCCAGUUUGCUUUUGCCUUCAGUUCCCAGCUCUCUGUCUGGCCCACAGUCGACACUCAGAUCGAGUGAAGAAAUAAUUGGAUGCAAGCAAAUAUCCACGGUAGGGAAAGUGACCCAGACCUGUUUCCCACGUACUCUUCCAAAGUUCUGGGGCAGACUCGAUUAGAAAUUAGAUCAAGGAAAUUCUAGAAGGGCAGGAAUUGGAUCUAGGAUAUUUUGUUAAGGGAGUGAAAACCUUGAACGUUCCAAGAUGGAACAAAUAAGGAAUUAGAUCUAAGAAAUUCUAAAGUGGAAAGGACUGGAACCAUGAACAUCCUAAGACAGAAUUGCUUUCUUCCUUAAUCAUCACGGGAGCUUCUGCAGGGAGAAAGAACAAGAGGCCAGAUGCCUUGUACCUGAUUAUCGAAGCCUAGCAUCACUUAGUGCUUUCAAAUGUUUAAAAUCUGCAGCUCCUCAAAUAAUCACAGCUGUGCAUGAGGAUGGACUCUUCUCUGACUUGCGUGUGAGGUCUCCAGGCCGGAUGAUGGGGACCAGGGAGCCUAGGAAAUGGGCUGAGCUGAGAGGAAGGAGUGGGAACCAGUGUUUGGCCCUGGCAGGAUCCCAGCAUCAAGAUCCUUCACGCCUCAACCUGGGCAGGGCUCGGCCAGCUGCCUCAACAAACGGAACCCAGCCCAGCCACCAUCCUCUCCCUGGACUGUUGCUCAAGACCUUCCUAACUGGCCCCUUUCUUCUCCCACAGAGAAACCAGAGUGGCUCUCUUAAGUGAUAAACUGUAUCAGCCCUUCUCUGCUCCAAGUCCUCCCGAGUGACUGACAGCCACUUGCUAGGCCCCAUCUAUGCCCACCCCUUCCCGCUCACCUCUCCACACUCCAGCCAAGCCGGCCUCCUGCGGGCCAGCUCUCCAACAUGCCGGGCCGCUCACCUUGGGCCUUUGCUGCUCCCGCUGCCUGGGACACGGCCCCCAGAGCCCCUCCCGACUCCCUCUCCUGCCUCUCUCAGAUGCCCUCACGUGCCCCCUCUCCACUCUAGGAGGCCUUCUCAAGCCACCGUACACAAAACAGCCCCCCCAGCCCAGCCCGUCUGCCGUAGCUCGGUACCCUUCGAGGCACUCACCACCACCUGCACCUGUGUGUCGUGUGUGCCUACUGCGUGUCUCUUCCCACUGGUCUACAAGAUCCACAAGAGCUCGUCUCACGAGGCCCUCCUGUGUGGUCUGUACUAGGUGCUCAGUAAGCACGUGCAAGUGACUCACCCCAGCAUUUCUCCCGUGUUAGAAGAGGCUGGUGACUCUCCGUGAACCGCAUGGUAGAUGCAAAGAUCACAGUAUAAACGAACAGGGCUGCCCAAAUGUAAUGAUGGCCAUUUGCGUCACUCCACCCCAGAGCGGCGAUUCUAGGGCAUUCUGUGUAAUUGGAGUACAAUUAAGCAUAUGGCAGUGUUUCCACCAGGCCAUAGAUCUGAUCCGGAGCCUCCCCGACGUGGGCUCUGGUUUCUUUCUUUUCCCUGUAACGACAAACCUGGAUGCAGCAUCAGGCAGGCCCUGUGGUCUGGGUCACAGGGGAAUACCGAGGAAUGAGAUUCAUGCUAACAAGAUUUAAUCCUGAGACGCUGGGCUAUAUAUCCAGUGGCGAUUUCCUGGAUUUUGCAGCCAACAUAAAUAACAGUGAGAGGAUUCCCGCUGCGUGACGUGAGGUUCGUCCUGCCGGUCUGGGCCAGGACGGACUGCUAUUGAUGGACAAGGCAGGGCCCCCUGACGGAAUCCAUGGAGCUGCACCCCACUGGCCCCCCUCCACCUCCACCCCCACCCCUGUAUCAGAUCGCUCUGUGAAGCAUGCUCAGGGUGAGGAGGCCAACAGCAGAGAUGAAAAUUAAGACACGUAUUUGGCACCCAGUCCAGCCGAGCAAUGAAAUCCCUCAUCUGUAUGUACAAAUCAUGAAUUUUCCAAUUGGACCAUGUGCUUCCUGGGGGUGAGGUCUGUACUGUGUAGGCAGCCAGCUUAUGGAAACUUGGAAGUCACCUUGGUGGCACCUCAUUUUCAUAAAAGGAAAUGAAGUAUGUGGUAGGGUAGCAUUAGAGAUAACUUACAUUGUGGAGAAAUGGACAGAUAAAAUAAGGGAUGUUCAUAAAAUGGAGUAGUAUACAGUAGUAAAAGGAGGGAGCAAGGAUGAACCUUUGAAAAUUUACACUGACGAAGAAAAUAAAAUGGCAAAUGAA
Bubalus bubalis (water buffalo) is the source of this 10948-nucleotide long non-coding RNA. RefSeq lists it as uncharacterized. The record is from RefSeq and is a predicted model, not a curated record. The transcript has 2 exons. Lineage: Eukaryota; Metazoa; Chordata; Mammalia; Artiodactyla; Bovidae.